RNAcentral lists this long non-coding RNA (2332 nucleotides) under Mus musculus (house mouse). RNAcentral describes it as "long non-coding RNA chr10:119654063-119656395". The record is from RNAcentral. Lineage: Eukaryota; Metazoa; Chordata; Mammalia; Rodentia; Muridae.
AUUGUUCUCUCAAUACUGGAGCCUCUUAAAUGGAAAAGCCAAUGCUCGCUGCUAAUUUAUCUCUGUGGACUCUCUUCCUAAAGCCCCCAUUGGUUUCAACUUGUCUGUCAUUCUUCCUUUCUUUAUUCUUUUUUAAAUAAUUUUGUGCGUGUGGACCAUGGUGCAUGGGUGAAGGUCAGAGGAACUAGCCAGAGUUCGUUCUUUCCUUCUACCUUGUAGGUCCUGGGGAUUGAACUCGGGUCCUCAGGCUUGAAGGCAGGCACCUUUCCCUGCCUAGCCAGCUCACUGCCCCCUUCUCUUUCAUUCCUCAUGAGAAGCCAUUGAAAUGGAGGGAGGGAAGGAGCCAUCACUCAAGCAGAGCUUACUGUGUGAGGAGAUUCCAUUCAAAUUGCUCUGUAGCAGCGAGGCCAUUGAAAUAAGUUAAUCAAUAGAAGUUCUCAGGCAUCGCACACGCUGGCUAUCUCCCCUAUGUUAGUAAUUGCUAAGUAAAUCAAGUCUCAAAAAUGUUAAAUAUAAAAGGGAAAGGAACUGCAGAUUAAAUAAGACCAAAGAGUAAGUUGUCAUCCGAAGGGAGUUACUAGGACAUGAAUGUCAGGAACAUUUAAGUGUGUACAGAAGGAAUAUGAGUUGUCCUGUUAGGAAAGUGUUUUAUAUGUAUAUCGCACACAGACCCACAUAUAUCCCGUAUAUUUGCAUGCUGUAUACCUAUUUGGAUAUAAAUACAUUUUAAAGGUGUAUUAUGAAUUUCUAGGUAAGUGGUUUGGGUCUUAAGCAUUGGUUCCGGAUGCAGCAUCGUCCAGAGGCAGGCUUGGGAUGGCUCUGACCUCAGGAGUGAGCUCAUCUGCCCGCAGAUUCAUAGCUUGAUGAGCCUCACAGGAAAACCUCUGUGAGGAGAGCGAGCGAGCUCUUGGCUUCCUGACCACCAUGAAGGGAGCAGUUUUCCUCUACAAGGACCUCCCUGCCAUGAGCCCACAAGGACCCCCAGUUCCUCACAGGCUGAAACCCUGAGAAAACCCAACAGCCCAACAGCCCGCAGCAUGAGGCAGAGUGCACCUGCCCGUCUUUGGAUGCCCCUUGUUAUAUAUAUUUAAGCAACAAAGAGCUAACAGAGCAUUUCUACUCAUUCACACCUGAGGGGACAUUUCCGAUGUGGUGGUCAUCCUAAGUGCGCCACAAUGCCUCAAGUGUGGGGAAGAAUGGCCUUUGAUUUGUCUGAAAAUGUUUCACCUGUUUAUACCACAUCCGUUCCUCAAAGCAAGCCAUUGUUACCAAAGAUCUGUGAUUCCAAAGUAGAAAUUUUGAUCCAUUGAGUGUGAAGAAGAAGAAGAAGAAGAAGAAGAAGAAGAAAAAGAAGAAGAUAAACCCUUUACAACCAGAAAAAUAUACAAAUGUGGUGGCACAUUAAAUAAGCCAGACAAUCGAGGGCUGUUGUUACUGUAAAUCCACAAACAUUUCUGUUUGUUGUUUUGUUUUGUUUUGUUUUGAGGUUGAUUCUUCCUUUGUCAGGCUGGCUGUCCUAAAACCACAUUGUGGACCAGUCUAGUCUGAAGCCCUCAGAUCUGCUUGCCUUCCCCCACUCCCCACCCCCGCCUCCUCAGUGCAGGGAUGAUGGGAAGGCCUGCGCCCCCAUGCAGAAGCAUUCUAAUACCUCGAGAAUCCAGUAUGCACUGCAUGAUCCCAGACCCAGAUUCAUGAGAAAAAGUCAUCUGAUGAUGAGCCAGAGAGCUGUUAGUUGACUUUCCCAAAGGUUGGAACGUUCAACGGGUGGCUGUGUGCUACGGUGGCUCGUUAAGUUCAGUGUUCAUUAAUGGACUUGCAAUGGCGUUCCUCUCCCCUUUUGUCUCACCCUGCCGUUCUCUGAGUAGUUUCUCCCACGCUGUUCCCCUGUUCCUGACGACAGCAUGUAGAGUGCACAAUGGCCCACUCUUCACUUUGAUGAAGAAUGGUUUGGGGGAACUGUGGAGCAGAAAGCCUAAGGAAUUAGGUCAGUGUUGUUGUCCAGUGGGAAGCUGAAGGUGUCCACCAAGUGCACUCUCAUUACACAACACUUGACAGCAAGAAAUACCUCAUCUCUAAAAAUAAAGACAUGGACUGAGACUUUCGGGGUGUUUUCCCCUCUCACCAGAGCACUGGUUCCCGAGUCACCUCACUUAUGUUCCCCACACUCACCUGAUAGCAAUUACAUCUUUCUUUUCAUCCGAUUCAAGAACUCAUAGGGAUUUCUUCAGAGCAAAGGGUAAGGUUGGGUGGGGGGCAGCGCUCCAAGGAAUUUUACAAGCUUGCAGAAUUUGCAAGGUCAUUUAGAGAAAUAAAAUGACCCAAGCUCCAGCCU